GGCAGCGAUCCCACGUCAACAUUGGGACGGAUUGUGAAUUCAGAGCUGAAUAAGGAUUCCAAAGAGGGGACACCGGCAUGGGGGCCGUUAAGUGCUGGGAGAGUUCGGAUACGAUGUUCCCUCGCAAAGCCCGUGUGACGGAGGAACUCUGAAAGGAAGGACUCAAGGUUCCAAGGGGCACGAUGGUGAAGCCGAUGUCAACAACGCAGCCAAACGUGGCUACACAGGACUCUAAGUAGAAAGGGAGGUUGCCCCCAAGAGUCUCUCAAGGGACCUAUCGGGCCGGGGAGAAGGUCCCAAGCCACGCCCACCUUGGAUGGGAAAAGCAACCUGGCUGGUGGUGACAGAACUCUUUGGAAUCCAACCCAGUCUCUGAGGACCGUGGGACACCCCCUCCCCCCGUCCCCACCCCCACCCCGAUACCCAAGAGAUCCAGGGCUAGACUUACCCUGGGAUCUUCUUCAUCGGGCGGGGGAGCCCUUGGCCCAACUGGGGCCCUCCGCUGCUUCUGGAGGGUCUGGGCUCUCACCAGUCUCUUGGCCCAAGAUGUGGGGUCCCGACGUGCCAUCAUCUUCGUCUCCUGGGGGUUUUAUGACCGCCUUUUUCAGGGGUGGACUGUUGGGCCACCUGAAACACACACAAACACACACAUGUCGAUGGUUAAGCACGUUGGAUAUUCACACACCCACAGGAAGCCACCUGCUAACUCCCUGCCUGUGUGGUCAUGAGGAGACCUCACCACCAGUCGGUCAAAUCUGUAGAACACAAUGUGCUGCGCGCAUCCUCGGAUAUUGUGUGUUCCUCUGCCAUGACUACCUAGUCCAAGAGUAAACCCCACCUGCCACAGGGCCCGUGGCCUAGGUAUGGGGGGUUGAGCUUUCAACCCCAAACAAACAACUGAUUCUGGAGACUGGACUUAGGUCUCUCACGAUUCACUCCGGUAGAAGACACGGUGAUUCUAUCUCCCUUGACGGACAGAAUGAUCGAAGACACAGGGCAUGGCGUGUGCCACCCUUUGGCAGGUCUGCUUGAAGUCAGGGAUAAGGGAUGCUUCCUGUGACAACUUGAAUCGCUACUCUUGCCAUUUCAUUAGGCAACUUCCAAACACAAAUUCAUACAGAGAAGUUACCUUCCUCUCUACCGCACUAGCAGGCUGGCGCUGAGAUGGGCAGGUGCUGCAGCAGCCCCGCUGGAAGCGAUGCAGCAUCCAGAACGACGGAGGAAGGGGCGGAGAGGGACCUCUGCUUUCCAGGCUGCCUUUUAUACUGCCUCUGGUCACCUGACAUGGAACGUACCCUAACCUAAUCAGUUACCUGUACCUUAAUUGCAAUUAACUUAAUCCAGUUACAUGACCUGGAAAGGUCUAUCUGCACAGCCCACUCUAAGAUCCUGUCCACUGCUGACAGACAUUCUAAAACCUACUUGUACAGCUGCAAGCUUUGAACAAUAGAUGUUCCCCGUCAGACAUGUAACACUGGUGCCUGUAUCCCUGUCUUCUUUUCCAUCUUUUUUGUUGUUUUGUUUUGUUUCGUUUUAAAAAAUGUGGUAAAAUAGACACCUUUUAAUUGGACCACAUUUUGUCUCUCUCGACGUAGGCCUCAGUGUCAUCAAGGAGACUCUCCUUGACAUGCAGUCACGGCCAUGAUCCAUCUUCAGAGCUUCUCUUUCUUCCCCAAGGUAAGUCUGUCAGCAGAGAACCCUGACCGCACCCUCAUGUGUUUUCUCCCCCAGGAGGCGCUUGGAAACCACCGUGAAUUGGACCGCACUGGGAAACACAGAUGAGGAAAGUCAACAACGCUUUGUCCUUCAGUGCCUGCCUCCUUUUUCAGCUCGUCUUGCGACUCCCGGACGCCUGUGAGGCUCUAAUUCCCUGGGUCCCAUUGCCAUGUCUCUGGAUUUGCGAAGAUCCACCGCACCUUCUGUGGAACUCCCGUGUCGGUGAACUUUUGUGCCACGGCCCCUAAUUCUGCCCAUGGUCAUCCGCACCUGCACGACUUAGGGUCCAUGUUCCUUGGACGGGAAGAGACAGGCAGGAGUCGGAAUGAUGAACCAGCACACUGGGGCGUUUUCUCAUGUAGCCCAAGUGACCCCAUGGUCUUCUCGAGCUUUGGAACCAGUCGCGUCCCCUUUGACACUGCACCCGGCUCCCAGUCUCUCAAUCUUGUUGGCCCUCCGGCGAUCUCCCGUUGGAUGAAUUGCUCCUGCUGAAACUCCAGUCCCCUUUGAUUUGCGCUUCAUUAAUUAUUCAUGAUUCAGGUUGGAAGGCCUGCUGACGACCCCCUGUGGCCGUUCUCUGAGCUUUCCUGUCACAUCGUUUCCUUCCACGCUCUUUGGUUCCUUAUGGUCCUGCUCCCUCUGCUGUCAGAGGAGCAGAGAGUUGAUCUUAUUCAUUCUGGAUACGGAUACUUUCUAGGUGAUCUGGAUAAUCAAGAUAACGACCCUCAACAGCGGCGGAGAGGGAGCAGCCAGUUGGUGUGUCUCAGAAAAUCCCACUGAGUUCCGAGGCCUCCUAGAUGUGGAAUCCUGCUGAGAGUUGUUCCCAGGUCAGAGAAUGGAGAGAGCCUGUGCAUGAUGGGACAUCCCCGCCUAGAUCUUUCAGUGAGUCUCUACCUCAGCUACUCUUAGGAUCAGGGGGAGAACCAUGGUGUCAGACAUCCGGAAAGAAGACGGGAUGAAUGUUUUACCUCUGAAGUACAUCCCAAAUGUGGGAGUUAACUUCAGCUUUGCUGGGGUCUAUUUGGCCAGUGAAACUCUGCCUGGUUCCUUCGCACAUCCGGAAGCCACUUCACGGGGGGCCGUCGCAACUGGAACCACACACUUGGCAUCGGCGGUUGAGCCAAAUGGGGACUCGUGGUGCAAGCAACGCUCCCCACGUGUUAGCGUGCGUGAGAUGCGGUUGGCGGAAUUUUACUAGGUGCGUGUUGGUAGAGUGGGGCUGAGGUUUUCUUGCUCCUGUGGAUGUAUAGCAAGUCAAAGGUCCUGCCCAGCCCUGCGGUCCCCUCAGUCAACUCUGUUUCGGAGACGUAACGAUUUGGAUUGCCAACAAGUCAAGAAAUGUUCAAGCCCUUGGAUGUAGGGUAAAGAAAGAGAGAUCAGACUGUCACUGUGUCUAUGUAGAAGGGGAAGACAUAAGAGACUCCAUUUUGAAAAAGACCUGUAGUUUAAACAAUUGCUUUGCUGAGAUGUUGAUCAUUUGUAGCUUUGCCGCAGCCCCUUCCUUUGACCCAACUUGGAGCUCACAAAAACCUGUGUUGUAUAAAAUCGAGGUUUAAGGGAUCUAGGGCUGUGCAGGACGCGCCUUGUUAACCAAAUGUUUACGAGCAGUAUACUUGGUAGGAGUCAUUGCCAUUCCCUAGUCUCAAUAAACCAGGGGCGCAAUGCACCGUGGAAAGCCACAGGGACCUCUGCCCUUGAAAGCAGGGUAUUGUCCAAGGUUUCUCCCCAUGUGACAGUCUGAAAUAUGGCCUCGUGGGAUGGGAAAGACCUGACUGUCCCCCAGCCUGACACCCGCAAUGGGUCUGUGCUGAGGUGGAUUAGUCAAAGAGGAAAGCCUCUUGCAGUUCAGAUGGAGGAAGGCCACUGUCUCCUGCUUGCCCCUGGGAACUGAAUGUCUCGGUGUAAAGCCCGAUCGUACAUUUGUUCAACUCUGAGCUCGGAGAAAAGCUGCCCUGUGGCGGGAGGCGAGACAUGUUGGCAGUAAUGCUGCCUUGUUAUUCUUUACUCCGCUGAGAUAUUUGUGUGGAGAGAAACAUAAAUCUGGCCUACGUGCACGUCCAGGCAUAGUACCUUCCCUUGAACUUAAUAAUGAUAUGGAUUCUUUUGCUCACGUGUUUGUUUUUGUUGUUGCUGUUGAACUUCCCCUUAUUAUCACCCUGCUCCCCUACUGCAUUCCUUUGUGCUGUAAUAAUGAUAAUCAUAAUCAAUAAAAACUGAGGGAACUCAGAGGCCGGUGCCGGUGCAGGUCCUAGGUGUGCUGAGUGCCGGUCCCCUGGACCCACUGUUGUCUCCCUAUACUUUGUCUCUGUGUCUUAUUUCUAUUCUCCAUCUCUCAUCCCACCCGACUAGAAACACCCACAGGUGUGGAGGGGCAGGCCACCCCUUCACUUGGAAAAUCAGUUACACACAAACACGGAAUGAGAGUCAAAAGACAAUAUGUCAUCUUUUUGAGAAUUUUAUUCACUUCAAAACCAAUUAAACACACAUAUGUACAAAGGCAUUCCAGAGCCCAGUUUUCGAGGCUGAGGAAAGACCCCGAGAGCGCUUCACACAGCACGCUUCCCAGCGUCCGAAACUCUGCUCUCAGGGCGGGGCACAGAGGAAGGGCUGCACCUCUCAGGGUUCCCUAACUUUUCCCUUAUUCAGUCAUCUAGAGAGCAAAUACACAGUAAUUCCCCAGUUUCCUAUUGACGUCCCAGCGGAAGUCUGACUCCUGCGCGUCACGCAGUUUCUGAGGCAACGAAUCUCUGGCACGGAAGCUUUUCCUGGCGCGUUUCGGGAGAACCACGCCAACUACAACGUCCCUCACCAGAAUUCAAUGAGGCAGAGUCCCUGCAUCUGCUCCCUGCCUGGCCUGGGCUCCCACAUCCACAGAAGCGCCACAGCCGGGGAGCUUCGGAGUCACCGCACAGAGUCUGCUCUCUGCUCUGCGCUCCUCAGUCCCACAGUCCCCUCCAAGUCACGGGAGCUGGAGGCCAAGGAGCCCCUGCCACCUGCAGUCUCACUCCAGGUCAGAAUCGCUGUCCUCUGAGGAGGAGGAAACCUGAAGGUCCUCAUAGAGGACGCUCGGUGGGACACGAACACAGGGAGCCUCAGACUUCUCUGACACAUGAGGGCUCUGAGCGAGGAAGGCUCCCGGCUUCUCAGGAGAGUGAAAUGAGGGGGCCGCCAGGAGGCUGGAGCUCCAGCGUCCGUUUUCCAGUCUCCGGAAGAGCACUCUGAGAGGCUGGGCCCCAUCAUGGCUGGCCGCUGGGUGAUGGGACAUGGUGCAGGCCUGGGCAGUGGGCAGGCAAGGUCUGCUGUGCGGAGGCUGCCGGUCGACGCUGGGCACCUGGGCCGGUGUCCUCCUGCCCAUCUGGGGCGACGUACUUGGUCCAAGUUCGGUUGCGGCUGGCGGAGGUUGGAGAUUCUCCGGGGCCCCCAGCUCACCUCCCUGGAUGGCGCUUUCGGGGAUCUGGAAGGGACCCAGUCUCGGUUUCUUGGGGAAGUUCAGGCAAGCCUGAAUCGGAGCCUGGGCAGGUCUCUUGGCUCCUGGCCCGAAGCUGAGAUUGGAGCCUAGGCCCAAGCUGUGUGUGGCGGCUGGCGGGCAGGGCUGUGAGGUCACCGCAGGACGUUUGUCUUGUGCCUGGGGUCUGGCGGCCUGGAGCAGGCCGUGGGUUUUGGAGGCAGCCUGGGGAACUUCUCGGCAGCCACCCUCGGGGCGGCUGUGUGUCGGCUUCACCACGAGGAGAGGCUCGCGGCCCUGGUGCCUGACUGCAGGCUGAGGCAUGUCGGCCGCAGCCCCUGUCUGUCUUUCCUUUGGUCCAAGACUUGAGGAGGAGCUCAGGCUGGCUUUUCUGAGGGGAGACAGUGAAGCCAAGACGGAGCCCCUGCCAGACAUUUCGGUAGCUGAGCGAUCAGCGAGGACAGGGUCCAAGCGCGGCCUCUUACUGGUUGUGUGGACCGGCAUUGGCCCGCUUGCAACCUGAAAGAGAGGAAACAACACAGGUUAGAAGUUCCUCAGCAUGGAGCCAACGUGAAAAUCAAGCACAUCCAAAGACAAGGUGCACACGCCAUGAAAUUCUUAGUACAGUAUCGACAGGCGGUCCUUGGAAGUAGGGACAGACCCUCCACCUGAGUGCUGAUCAGGACAAGACACAUGAAAGAUGCGCUCUCGAGCUAUGUGUAGCUGAUCUAAGCACACCAUUGUUCAAAAGAUCGCGUCUUGGGCAUUAACUGGAUCAAAGCGCCUCCACUCAGCCUUCCAUGAAGUGGAACGGACUAAUGCCCUUCCCAAGGCAGGUUGCUGGCUCAAGGGUACUCGGGACGUCUUCUCUGAACACAUGCAUGUUCCUGGGUUUCGCCUUCUCCACGUUUGGGGCCUCUGAGGGACUAAUUUCCUCAUGCCGCUAGGAACGUGUUGUUGGCAGGCUUGCCAUAAUUGGACAGAAAGAAAGCAACAGGAAAUACGGCAUGUUCAGAUGCCUUCGCCUGGAAUCCAAUUGACCUGGAAGGAUCGUGGAGUCCCUGACCCCAAGAAGGCAAGAAAGAGGGGUUCCCCGAUUUCCUCCCGCAGACGGGAAGCUGAAAGGAAAUCAACCAGGGUGACCUAGAGGAGAAAAAGACCAGGGGCCCGGGGUGACACUCGCCCUCAGAUAAUCAGAAGGUUCCGUGGAUCCUUUUCCAUUCGGCAGCGGCUUCUCUGGAGGUUUCCCGGAAAACAUGUGGAGGAGAGCCUUCCUCUGCGGGUCUUGUUGCCUGCAGAACAGAAAAAGGUCAGGCCGUGCCCCCUGGUUUUCCCCAGGAGACAGGGAGAACCCCGUCUGGGGCCCAGCCCCAUUCCGUGUCUUGUGAUACAGAAAUGGACAUCUGGUGCCCUUUCCGCCUCUGCACCUUCCCUCACGUGCCAACCUUCCCAUCCUCCAGGUGGCCCUCUAGGCUUCCCAACUAAGGACUGUGAUUUGGAUUCCAUCGCUUUUCCCGCUGUCGCGGGGAACCUGCACGAAGCGCCCCCGCCUCUCCCCGUCCCUGAAUCUCCCAGAGCCCAAGGAGCUCCUGGGUGUGGAACCCCGGAGGACACGGAGCUCCGGCCUAUUUCUCUGCAGCGUUCCUUCCCUGGCCCGGAGACGGAAAGGCACACGGUGUGCAGGUGCAGAGACACCAUGUCCUUAGGAGGCAGUACCCCAAGAGUGGUGAAAACCCCUCCCACUGCUCACCUUGGUCUCUCUUCCUUCUCUCCCUUAUCCUUGUUCAAGGGCCCCGGGUUGGCUUCACCCCGGGGCUUCCAUGGUUUCAGGUUUUCCUUCCCUUCCUUUUUCCCCAAGGUCGCUGGAACCAGGGCUGCCUUCCAGCACUUCAUGGGGCACCUGGUACUUCUGGCCGUGUGGCCAAAGGCCCCGCAGUUUUUGCACUUGAGCUGUGGGUGGAAAGGAAGUGAUGUCAGUGAGUGAGCUGAAGCCACAGGCAGCGAUCCCACGUCAACAUUGGGACGGAUUGUGAAUUCAGAGCUGAAUAAGGAUUCCAAAGAGGGGACACCGGCAUGGGGGCCGUUAAGUGCUGGGAGAGUUCGGAUACGAUGUUCCCUCGCAAAGCCCGUGUGACGGAGGAACUCUGAAAGGAAGGACUCAAGGUUCCAAGGGGCACGAUGGUGAAGCCGAUGUCAACAACGCAGCCAAACGUGGCUACACAGGACUCUAAGUAGAAAGGGAGGUUGCCCCCAAGAGUCUCUCAAGGGACCUAUCGGGCCGGGGAGAAGGUCCCAAGCCACGCCCACCUUGGAUGGGAAAAGCAACCUGGCUGGUGGUGACAGAACUCUUUGGAAUCCAACCCAGUCUCUGAGGACCGUGGGACACCCCCUCCCCCCGUCCCCACCCCCACCCCGAUACCCAAGAGAUCCAGGGCUAGACUUACCCUGGGAUCUUCUUCAUCGGGCGGGGGAGCCCUUGGCCCAACUGGGGCCCUCCGCUGCUUCUGGAGGGUCUGGGCUCUCACCAGUCUCUUGGCCCAAGAUGUGGGGUCCCGACGUGCCAUCAUCUUCGUCUCCUGGGGGUUUUAUGACCGCCUUUUUCAGGGGUGGACUGUUGGGCCACCUGAAACACACACAAACACACACAUGUCGAUGGUUAAGCACGUUGGAUAUUCACACACCCACAGGAAGCCACCUGCUAACUCCCUGCCUGUGUGGUCAUGAGGAGACCUCACCACCAGUCGGUCAAAUCUGUAGAACACAAUGUGCUGCGCGCAUCCUCGGAUAUUGUGUGUUCCUCUGCCAUGACUACCUAGUCCAAGAGUAAACCCCACCUGCCACAGGGCCCGUGGCCUAGGUAUGGGGGGUUGAGCUUUCAACCCCAAACAAACAACUGAUUCUGGAGACUGGACUUAGGUCUCUCACGAUUCACUCCGGUAGAAGACACGGUGAUUCUAUCUCCCUUGACGGACAGAAUGAUCGAAGACACAGGGCAUGGCGUGUGCCACCCUUUGGCAGGUCUGCUUGAAGUCAGGGAUAAGGGAUGCUUCCUGUGACAACUUGAAUCGCUACUCUUGCCAUUUCAUUAGGCAACUUCCAAACACAAAUUCAUACAGAGAAGUUACCUUCCUCUCUACCGCACUAGCAGGCUGGCGCUGAGAUGGGCAGGUGCUGCAGCAGCCCCGCUGGAAGCGAUGCAGCAUCCAGAACGACGGAGGAAGGGGCGGAGAGGGACCUCCGCUUUCCAGGCUGCCUUUUAUACUGCCUCUGGUCACCUGACAUGGAACGUACCCUAACCUAAUCAGUUACCUGUACCUUAAUUGCAAUUAACUUAAUCCAAUUACAUGACCUGGAAAGGUCUAUCUGCACAGCCCACUCUAAGAUCCUGUCCACUGCUGACAGACAUUCUAAAACCUACUUGUACAGCUGCAAGCUUUGAACAAUAGAUGUUCCCCGUCAGACAUGUAACACUGGUGCCUGUACCCCUGUCUUCCUUUCCAUCUUUUUUGUUGUUUUGUUUUGUUUCGUUUUAAAAAAUGUGGUAAAAUAGACACCUUUUAAUUGGACCACAUUUUGUCUCUCUCGACGUAGGCCUCAGUGUCAUCAAGGAGACUCUCCUUGACAUGCAGUCACGGCCAUGAUCCAUCUUCAGAGCUUCUCUUUCUUCCCCAAGGUAAGUCUGUCAGCAGAGAACCCUGACCGCACCCUCAUGUGUUUUCUCCCCCAGGAGGCGCUUGGAAACCACCGUGAAUUGGACCGCACUGGGAAACACAGAUGAGGAAAGUCAACAACGCUUUGUCCUUCAGUGCCUGGCUCCUUUUUCAGCUCGUCUUGCGACUCCCGGACGCCUGUGAGGCUCUAAUUCCCUGGGUCCCAUUGCCAUGUCUCUGGAUUUGCGAAGAUCCACCGCACCUUCUGUGGAACUCCCGUGUCGGUGAACUUUUGUGCCACGGCCCCUAAUUCUGCCCAUGGUCAUCCGCACCUGCACGACUUAGGGUCCAUGUUCCUUGGACGGGAAGAGACAGGCAGGAGUCGGAAUGAUGAACCAGCACACUGGGGCGUUUUCUCAUGUAGCCCAAGUGACCCCAUGGUCUUCUCGAGCUUUGGAACCAGUCGCGUCCCCUUUGACACUGCACCCGGCUCCCAGUCUCUCAAUCUUGUUGGCCCUCCGGCGAUCUCCCGUUGGAUGAAUUGCUCCUGCUGAAACUCCAGUCCCCUUUGAUUUGCGCUUCAUUAAUUAUUCAUGAUUCAGGUUGGAAGGCCUGCUGACGACCCCCUGUGGCCGUUCUCUGAGCUUUCCUGUCACAUCGUUUCCUUCCACGCUCUUUGGUUCCUUAUGGUCCUGCUCCCUCUGCUGUCAGAGGAGCAGAGAGUUGAUCUUAUUCAUUCUGGAUACGGAUACUUUCUAGGUGAUCUGGAUAAUCAAGAUAACGACCCUCAACAGCGGCGGAGAGGGAGCAGCCAGUUGGUGUGUCUCAGAAAAUCCCACUGAGUUCCGAGGCCUCCUAGAUGUGGAAUCCUGCUGAGAGUUGUUCCCAGGUCAGAGAAUGGAGAGAGCCUGUGCAUGAUGGGAUAUCCCUGCCUAGAUCUUUCAGUGAGUCUCUACCUCAGCUACUCUUAGGAUCAGGGGGAGAACCAUGGUGUCAGACAUCCGGAAAGAAGACGGGAUGAAUGUUUUACCUCUGAAGUACAUCCCAAAUGUGGGAGUUAACUUCAGCUUUGCUGGGGUCUAUUUGGCCAGUGAAACUCUGCCUGGUUCCUUCGCACAUCCGGAAGCCACUUCACGGGGGGCCGUCGCAACUGGAACCACACACUUGGCAUCGGCGGUUGAGCCAAAUGGGGACUCGUGGUGCAAGCAACGCUCCCCACGUGUUAGCGUGCGUGAGAUGCGGUUGGCGGGAUUUUACUAGGUGCGUGUUGGUAGAGUGGGGCUGAGGUUUUCUUGCUCCUGUGGAUGUAUAGCAAGUCAAAGGUCCUGCCCAGCCCUGCGGUCCCCUCAGUCAACUCUGUUUCGGAGACGUAACGAUUUGGAUUGCCAACAAGUCAAGAAAUGUUCAAGCCCUUGGAUGUAGGGUAAAGAAAGAGAGAUCAGACUGUCACUGUGUCUAUGUAGAAGGGGAAGACAUAAGAGACUCCAUUUUGAAAAAGACCUGUAGUUUAAACAAUUGCUUUGCUGAGAUGUUGAUCAUUUGUAGCUUUGCCGCAGCCCCUUCCUUUGACCCAACUUGGAGCUCACAAAAACCUGUGUUGUAUAAAAUCGAGGUUUAAGGGAUCUAGGGCUGUGCAGGACGCGCCUUGUUAACCAAAUGUUUACGAGCAGUAUACUUGGUAGGAGUCAUUGCCAUUCCCUAGUCUCAAUAAACCAGGGGCGCAAUGCACCGUGGAAAGCCACAGGGACCUCUGCCCUUGAAAGCAGGGUAUUGUCCAAGGUUUCUCCCCAUGUGACAGUCUGAAAUAUGGCCUCGUGGGAUGGGAAAGACCUGACUGUCCCCCAGCCUGACACCCGCAAUGGGUCUGUGCUGAGGUGGAUUAGUCAAAGAGGAAAGCCUCUUGCAGUUCAGAUGGAGGAAGGCCACUGUCUCCUGCUUGCCCCUGGGAACUGAAUGUCUCGGUGUAAAGCCCGAUCGUACAUUUGUUCAACUCUGAGCUCGGAGAAAAGCUGCCCUGUGGCGGGAGGCGAGACAUGUUGGCAGUAAUGCUGCCUUGUUAUUCUUUACUCCGCUGAGAUAUUUGUGUGGAGAGAAACAUAAAUCUGGCCUACGUGCACGUCCAGGCAUAGUACCUUCCCUUGAACUUAAUAAUGAUAUGGAUUCUUUUGCUCACGUGUUUGUUUUUGUUGUUGCUGUUGAACUUCCCCUUAUUAUCACCCUGCUCCCCUACUGCAUUCCUUUGUGCUGUAAUAAUGAUAAUCAUAAUCAAUAAAAACUGAGGGAACUCAGAGGCCGGUGCCGGUGCAGGUCCUAGGUGUGCUGAGUGCCGGUCCCCUGGACCCACUGUUGUCUCCCUAUA
Long non-coding RNA from Homo sapiens (human), 11170 nucleotides. RefSeq lists it as uncharacterized. The record is from RefSeq and is a predicted model, not a curated record. The transcript is spliced from 3 exons. Lineage: Eukaryota; Metazoa; Chordata; Mammalia; Primates; Hominidae.